GGUCUCUUAGCUCAGUUGGUAGAGCAAUGGAUUGAAAAUCCAUGUGUCCCUGGUUCGAUUCCUGGAGAGACCAC
RNAcentral lists this transfer RNA (74 nucleotides) under Kaistella antarctica. RNAcentral describes it as "Chryseobacterium antarcticum tRNA-Phe(gaa)". It matches the Rfam family "tRNA". From Rfam's summary of the family: Transfer RNA (tRNA) molecules are approximately 80 nucleotides in length. Their secondary structure includes four short double-helical elements and three loops (D, anti-codon, and T loops). Further hydrogen bonds mediate the characteristic L-shaped molecular structure. tRNAs have two regions of fundamental functional importance: the anti-codon, which is responsible for specific mRNA codon recognition, and the 3' end, to which the tRNAs corresponding amino acid is attached (by aminoacyl-tRNA synthetases). tRNAs cope with the degeneracy of the genetic code in two manners: having more than one tRNA (with a specific anti-codon) for a particular amino acid; and 'wobble' base-pairing, i.e. permitting non-standard base-pairing at the 3rd anti-codon position. RNAcentral also lists the same sequence under 3 other names. Lineage: Bacteria; Pseudomonadati; Bacteroidota; Flavobacteriia; Flavobacteriales; Weeksellaceae. The record is from RNAcentral.